RNAcentral lists this ribosomal RNA (394 nucleotides) under uncultured Tolumonas sp. RNAcentral's name for it is "bacterial SSU rRNA". It matches the Rfam family "Bacterial small subunit ribosomal RNA", at positions 524 to 916 of the family's 1533-position model. The record is from RNAcentral. Lineage: Bacteria; Pseudomonadati; Pseudomonadota; Gammaproteobacteria; Aeromonadales; Aeromonadaceae.
UACGGAGGGUGCAAGCGUUAAUCGGAAUAACUGGGCGUAAAGCGCACGCAGGCGGUUAGAUAAGUCAGAUGUGAAAUCCCCGGGCUCAACCUGGGAACUGCAUUUGAAACUGUCUGACUAGAGUCUUGUAGAGGGGGGUAGAAUUCCAGGUGUAGCGGUGAAAUGCGUAGAGAUCUGGAGGAAUACCGGUGGCGAAGGCGGCCCCCUGGACAAAGACUGACGCUCAGGUGCGAAAGCGUGGGGAGCAAACAGGAUUAGAUACCCUGGUAGUCCACGCUGUAAACGAUGUCGAUUUGGAGUUUGUGCCAUUAUGAGCGUGGGUUCCGAAGCUAACGCGAUAAAUCGACCGCCUGGGGAGUACGGCCGCAAGGUUAAAACUCAAAGGAAUUGACGG